AUGUAUUUGUUUCAUGAUUUGACCUUGGUACGGAAUUUUCAUUUUCUGAGGACAAGGAUGCACAUGUGGUUAACAUAUUCCAAUAUAUAAAUGAUUAUAGCUCAUCAUACUUCAUACACACUAACACUAAUCUAAUAUGAUAAACAUCAAACAAUAGCAUAACUAUAGAAGUAAUCCUCACCAAAAUGAGCCGGAUGAUGCCAAAACCUUCGCAAAUCAAUCAAUCACAACAUAAAAAAAACAGAGAAAAAGCAGAUUCAAUCAGUAAACAAAGCGAAAAAGCAUCCUGCACCUAUCAGAAUCGCAAUUUGAACUUUUAAAACCCUAGAACUGAAGCAUAAAUUAAUAAACAACAUACUCGUCAUCCGAUCUACGAAUCCAGUGACUACGAACACGAUAAUUCAUCAUACAUCUUCAUCAUGCAACUGUGCCAACAGUAGCCGUUGAUGGAAGUCCUAACAGAAUCUUCUAGAUCGAUCGAUCGAUUGAAAUCUGUAACAGAACGAAGAACAAAGAAGAAGAAGUGUG
This 528-nucleotide long non-coding RNA is filed under the name Helianthus annuus (common sunflower). RNAcentral describes it as "sRNA HanXRQr2_Chr15g0712891". The record is from RNAcentral. Lineage: Eukaryota; Viridiplantae; Streptophyta; Magnoliopsida; Asterales; Asteraceae.